Non-coding RNA from Potamilus streckersoni, 73 nucleotides. Lineage: Eukaryota; Metazoa; Mollusca; Bivalvia; Unionida; Unionidae. The record is from the annotation of a GenBank genome assembly.
GCUCUGCUGGCGUAGUGGUUAGAGCAUCUGCCUCAGAUGUAGGAGGUUGUAGGUUUAAACCCUGGUCAAGUCA